GGCCCAAAGUGGCUGAGUGGUGUAAGGCACUCUCCUUUACAAAUCAGUGACAUCUAGCUUCUGUUAGCCUGGGUUCGAAUCCCAGCUUUACCA
Potamilus streckersoni is the source of this 93-nucleotide non-coding RNA. NCBI's taxonomy places the organism in Eukaryota, Metazoa, Mollusca, Bivalvia, Unionida, Unionidae. The record is from the annotation of a GenBank genome assembly.